AAACAGUACUCUGGAGAGACCUGGCGCCGGCCCUGAACAAGGGACACAACGAGCAGCCCAGGCGCCGAAGGUGCAAACCCGCCAUGCGCGGGGCAACUCUCAGGCAAAAGGACAGAGGGGCGGAA
RNAcentral lists this non-coding RNA (125 nucleotides) under Achromobacter piechaudii. RNAcentral's name for it is "Glycine sequence". It matches the Rfam family "Glycine riboswitch aptamer". Rfam says of the family: This family represents the bacterial glycine riboswitch. Lineage: Bacteria; Pseudomonadati; Pseudomonadota; Betaproteobacteria; Burkholderiales; Alcaligenaceae. The record is from RNAcentral.